Molecule: non-coding RNA, 134 nt
Organism: Triticum aestivum (bread wheat)
Lineage: Eukaryota; Viridiplantae; Streptophyta; Magnoliopsida; Poales; Poaceae
Source: Rfam
AUUGUACUCCCUCCAUCCCAAAAUUCUUGUCUUAGAUUUGUCUACAUAUGAAUGUAUCUAUUCAUAUUUUAGUGUUAGAUACAUCCGUAUCAAGAUAAAACUAAGACAAGAAUUUUGGGACGAGUGAGUAGAUG